GGAGCUUUAGUUUAACUAAAAUGUCUGUAUUGCAAACAGAUGAUGUGGUGUUUCUGCAAGCUCUA
This 65-nucleotide transfer RNA is filed under the name Ptyas korros. Its description in RNAcentral is "tRNA-Ala". Lineage: Eukaryota; Metazoa; Chordata; Lepidosauria; Squamata; Colubridae. The record is from RNAcentral.